UCCGAGUUGACCCCGGCAGUCUCCUACGAGUCCCCACCAUUACGUGCUGGCAACAUAGGACAAGGGUUGCGCUCGUUGCGGGACUUAACCCUACAUCUCACGACACGAGCUGACGACAGCCAUGCACCACCUGUGCAGCGCCCCGAAGGACACCGUAUCUCUACGGCUUUUCGCUGCAUGUCAAGCCCAGGUAAGGUUCUUCGCGUUGCUUCGAAUUAAACAGCAUGCUCCGCUGCUUGUGCGGGCCCCCGUCAAUUCCUUUGAGUUUCAACCUUGCGGUCGUACUCCCCAGGCGGGGUACUUCCUGCGUUAGCGCCGGCACCCAGAGGGUCGCUCCCCCAGGCACCUAGUACCCAUCGUUUACGGCGUGGACUAC
RNAcentral lists this unclassified non-coding RNA (376 nucleotides) under uncultured Actinomycetes bacterium. RNAcentral describes it as "uncultured actinobacterium contains 16S-23S intergenic spacer region". The record is from RNAcentral. Lineage: Bacteria; Bacillati; Actinomycetota; Actinomycetes.